This 253-nucleotide ribosomal RNA is filed under the name uncultured bacterium. RNAcentral's name for it is "partial 16S ribosomal RNA". It matches the Rfam family "Bacterial small subunit ribosomal RNA", at positions 524 to 776 of the family's 1533-position model. The record is from RNAcentral.
UACGUAGGUCCCGAGCGUUAUCCGGAUUUACUGGGUGUAAAGGGAGCGUAGACGGCUUUGCAAGCCAGAUGUGAAAGCCCGGGGCUCAACCCCGGGACUGCAUUUGGAACUGUAUGGCUGGAGUGUCGGAGAGGCAGGCGGAAUUCCUAGUGUAGCGGUGAAAUGCGUAGAUAUUAGGAGGAACACCAGUGGCGAAGGCGGCCUGCUGGACGAUGACUGACGUUGAGGCUCGAAAGCGUGGGGAGCAAACAGG